UACGUAGGGUGCGAGCGUUGUCCGGAAUUACUGGGCGUAAAGAGCUCGUAGGUGGUUUGUCGCGUUGUUCGUGAAAACUCACAACUCAAUUGUGGGCGUGCGGGCGGUACGGGCAGACUGGAGUACUGCAGGGGAGACUGGAAUUCCUGGUGUAGCGGUGGAAUGCGCAGAUAUCAGGAGGAACACCGGUGGCGAAGGCGGGUCUCUGGGCAGUAACUGACGCUGAGGAGCGAAAGCGUGGGGAGCGAACAGG
Molecule: ribosomal RNA, 253 nt
Filed under: uncultured bacterium
Lineage: Bacteria
Description: partial 16S ribosomal RNA
Rfam family: Bacterial small subunit ribosomal RNA
Source: RNAcentral